RNAcentral lists this long non-coding RNA (652 nucleotides) under Brassica napus (rape). RNAcentral describes it as "long non-coding RNA (BNAP_LNC026860)". The record is from RNAcentral. Lineage: Eukaryota; Viridiplantae; Streptophyta; Magnoliopsida; Brassicales; Brassicaceae.
UGAGUGGUAUCAAUAAGCUAUCGACCCUCCUCAACUGGUUCACCCCAACUGUCCGCCGCUGCAUCUCCGUUCAAGUUCAAUUGAUUGGUUGAGGUUUUGGUGCUUAAAAGGAAAUAGCUAGACUUAGGGUUUUUAUUCAGGAAAUUUGGGAUUAUAAUCCUACAGAUGCCUAAUGAGUUGCAUGCAUGAUAAUGUAAAUCUCAACUACUUAGUCAACAAGUCAAUCAGCUCUCGCAUGUUUUGACUUGUCUAUUAACUAGAUCUAAUGAUCUCAACUAUCGUAUGUUGAUCAAUUAGAAAGUGUCGAUCGAUGAUCCUAUAGGGAUAUCGAUCGAUACACCUUUCGCUCCGUCGAUCGAUUAUGCAAUAAUGAUAUCGAUCGACGCGCUUCUAGUUAAGCUUUAUACGCGGGUUGAAUGGUAGCUUACUAAGCUCACUAGAUCAGCUCUCGCCUUACUCAUAGCAAGAAACUUAGCUCAAUUAGAAUGUUUUCAGGAUGAAAAUGAAGCUCUCGCUUUUAUCUAUCAAUCCUAGGGCAAGUUCUAGGUAGCUAAUCUAGAAACAAGCAUUAAUGAACAAUCCUAAUGACAAUUACCACAACUUAGCAAUCUAUAUUUGGGGCUAAUCCCUCCUAACCUAUUUAAACCCUAAA